This 439-nucleotide ribosomal RNA is filed under the name uncultured bacterium. RNAcentral's name for it is "partial 16S ribosomal RNA". It matches the Rfam family "Bacterial small subunit ribosomal RNA", at positions 339 to 795 of the family's 1533-position model. The record is from RNAcentral.
CUACGGGGGGCAGCAGUGAGGAAUAUUGCACAAUGGAGGAAACUCUGAUGCAGCAACGCCGCGUGGAGGAUGACGCAUUUCGGUGUGUAAACUCCUUUUAUAUGUCAAGAAAAUGACGGUAGCAUAUGAAUAAGCACCGGCUAACUCCGUGCCAGCAGCCGCGGUAAUACGGAGGGUGCAAGCGUUACUCGGAAUCACUGGGCGUAAAGGACGCGUAGGCGGGAUAUCAAGUCAGGUGUGAAAUCCUACAGCUUAACUGUAGAACUGCACUUGAAACUGGUAACCUAGAGUAUGGGAGGGGGAGAUGGAAUUAGUGGUGUAGGGGUAAAAUCCGUAGAUAUCACUAGGAAUACCUAAAGCGAAGGCGAUCUCCUGGAACAUAACUGACGCUAAGGCGUGAAAGCGUGGGGAGCAAACAGGAUUAGAUACCCGCGUAGUC